GUAGGUGGCAAGCGUUGUCCGGAAUUAUUGGGCGUAAAGCGCGCGCAGGCGGUUCCUUAAGUCUGGUGUGAAAGCCCACGGCUCAACCGUGGAGGGUCAUUGGAAACUGGAGAACUUGAGUACAGAAGAGGAAAGCGGAAUUCCACGUGUAGCGGUGAAAUGCGUAGAGAUGUGGAGGAACACCAGUGGCGAAGGCGGCUUUCUGGUCUGUAACUGACGCUGAGGCGCGAAAGCGUGGGGAGCAAACAGGGAUUAGAUACCCUGGUAGUCCACGCCGUAAACGAUGAGUGCUAAGUGUUAGGGGGUUUCCGCCCCCUUAGUGCUGCAGCUAACGCAUUAAGCACUCCGCCUGGGGAGUACGGCCGCAAGGCUG
RNAcentral lists this ribosomal RNA (373 nucleotides) under uncultured organism. RNAcentral's name for it is "partial 16S ribosomal RNA". It matches the Rfam family "Bacterial small subunit ribosomal RNA", at positions 527 to 896 of the family's 1533-position model. The record is from RNAcentral.